This 729-nucleotide ribosomal RNA is filed under the name uncultured eukaryote. RNAcentral describes it as "SSU rRNA". It matches the Rfam family "Eukaryotic small subunit ribosomal RNA", at positions 670 to 1426 of the family's 1831-position model. The record is from RNAcentral.
CGGAUGCACUGAUCCAGCCGGGCCUUUCCCUCUGUGGAACCCCAUGGCCUUCACUGGCUGUGGUGGGGAAACAGGACUUUUACUUUGAAAAAAUUAGAGUGCUCCAGGCAGGCCUAUGCUCGAAUACAUUAGCAUGGAAUAAUAGAAUAGGACGUGUGGUUCUAUUUUGUUGGUUUCUAGGACCGCCGUAAUGAUUAAUAGGGACAGUCGGGGGCAUCAGUAUUCAAUUGUCAGAGGUGAAAUUCUUGGAUCUAUUGAAGACUAACUACUGCGGAAGCAUUUGCCAAGGAUGUUUUCAUUGAUAAGGAACGAAAGUUAGGGGAUCGAAGACGAUCAGAUACCGUCGUAGUCUUAACUAUAAACUAUGCCGACUAGGGAUCGGACGAUGUUAUUCUUUGACGCGUUCGGCACCUUUCGAGAAAUCAAAGUGCUUGGGCUCCAGGGGGAGUAUGGUCGCAAGGCUGAAACUUAAAGAAAUUGACGGAAGGGCACCACCAGGGGUGGAACCUGCGGCUUAAUUUGACUCAACACGGGGAAACUCACCAGGUCCAGACACAGUGAGGAUUGACAGAUUGAGAGCUCUUUCUUGAUUCUGUGGGUGGUGGUGCAUGGCCGUUCUUAGUUGGUGGAGUGAUUUGUCUGCUUAAUUGCGAUAACGAACGAGACCUUAACCUGCUAAAUAGCCCGUACUGCUUUGGCAGUUCGCCGGCUUCUUAGAGGGACUAUCGG